RNAcentral lists this ribosomal RNA (294 nucleotides) under uncultured bacterium. RNAcentral describes it as "partial 16S ribosomal RNA". It matches the Rfam family "Bacterial small subunit ribosomal RNA", at positions 30 to 334 of the family's 1533-position model. The record is from RNAcentral.
AUUGAACGCUGGCGGCAUGCCUAACACAUGCAAGUCGAACGGGAGUAGCAAUACUCUAGUGGCGGACGGGUGAGGAAUACGUAGGAAUUUGCCCUUAAGUGGGGGAUAACCCGGGGAGACCCGGAUUAAUACCGCAUGACCUCGAAAGAGCAAAGUGGGGGAUCGCAAGACCUCACGCUUUUGGAGAAGCCUACGUCGGAUUAGCUAGUUGGUGAGGUAAUGGCUCACCAAGGCGACGAUCCGUAACUGGUCUGAGAGGAUGAUCAGUCACACCGGAACUGAGACACGGUCCGG